GCUCUCGUAGUAUAGUGGUUAGUAUUGGGGACUGUGAAUCCCUAGGGGGGGGUUCGAUUCCCCCCGAGAGCC
RNAcentral lists this transfer RNA (72 nucleotides) under Promethearchaeota archaeon. Its description in RNAcentral is "Candidatus Lokiarchaeota archaeon (permafrost metagenome) tRNA-His". It matches the Rfam family "tRNA". From Rfam's summary of the family: Transfer RNA (tRNA) molecules are approximately 80 nucleotides in length. Their secondary structure includes four short double-helical elements and three loops (D, anti-codon, and T loops). Further hydrogen bonds mediate the characteristic L-shaped molecular structure. tRNAs have two regions of fundamental functional importance: the anti-codon, which is responsible for specific mRNA codon recognition, and the 3' end, to which the tRNAs corresponding amino acid is attached (by aminoacyl-tRNA synthetases). tRNAs cope with the degeneracy of the genetic code in two manners: having more than one tRNA (with a specific anti-codon) for a particular amino acid; and 'wobble' base-pairing, i.e. permitting non-standard base-pairing at the 3rd anti-codon position. Lineage: Archaea; Promethearchaeati; Promethearchaeota. The record is from RNAcentral.